RNAcentral lists this ribosomal RNA (253 nucleotides) under uncultured bacterium. RNAcentral's name for it is "partial 16S ribosomal RNA". It matches the Rfam family "Bacterial small subunit ribosomal RNA", at positions 524 to 776 of the family's 1533-position model. The record is from RNAcentral.
GACGUAGGGCGCGAGCGUUGUCCGGAUUUAUUGGGCGUAAAGCGCUCGCAGGUGGUUCGAUGCGUCGUGCGUGAAAGACCCCGGCUCAACUGGGGAGGGUCGUGCGAUACGGUCGAACUGGAGGCCAGUAGGGGGAUGCGGAAUUCCGGGUGUAGUGGUGGAAUGCGUAGAGAUCCGGAGGAACACCGAUGGCGAAGGCAGGUCUCUGGGCCACUACUGACGCUGAGAAGCGAAAGCAUGGGGAGCGAACAGG